AUUGAACGCUGGCGGAAUGCUUUACACAUGCAAGUCGAACGGCAGCACGGACUUCGGUCUGGUGGCGAGUGGCGAACGGGUGAGUAAUGUAUCGGAACGUGCCCAGUCGUGGGGGAUAACGUAGUGAAAAUUACGCUAAUACCGCAUACGAUCUAUGGAUGAAAGCGGGGGAUCGCAAGACCUCGCGCGAUUGGAGCGGCCAGUAUCAGAUUAGGUAGUUGGUGGGGUCAAGGCCCACCAAGCCAACGAUCUGUAGCUGGUCUGAGAGGACGACCGGCCACACUGGAACGGGGACACGGUCCAGACUCCUACGGGAGGCAGCAGUGGGGAAUUUUGGACAAUGGGCGAAAGCCUGAUCCAGCCAUGCCGCGUGCAGGAUGAAGGCCCUCGGGUUGUAAACUGCUUUUGUACAGAACGAAAAGGUUUCUACUAAUACUAGGAGCUCAUGACGGUACUGUAAGAAUAAGCACCGGCUAACUACGUGCCAGCAGCCGCAGUAA
This 500-nucleotide ribosomal RNA is filed under the name uncultured bacterium. RNAcentral's name for it is "partial 16S ribosomal RNA". It matches the Rfam family "Bacterial small subunit ribosomal RNA", at positions 30 to 523 of the family's 1533-position model. The record is from RNAcentral.